Molecule: ribosomal RNA, 409 nt
Filed under: uncultured bacterium
Lineage: Bacteria
Description: bacterial SSU rRNA
Rfam family: Bacterial small subunit ribosomal RNA
Source: RNAcentral
AUUGAACGCUGGCGGCAUGCUUUACACAUGCAAGUCGAACGGCAGCACGGGCUUCGGCCUGGUGGCGAGUGGCGAACGGGUGAGUAAUGCAUCGGAACGUGCCCAUGUUGUGGGGGAUAACUACGCGAAAGCGUGGCUAAUACCGCAUACGCCCUGAGGGGGAAAGGCGGGGGAGUUCUUCGGAACCUCGCGCAAUUGGAGCGGCCGAUGUCAGAUUAGCUUGUUGGUGAGGUAAAGGCUCACCAAGGCGACGAUCUGUAGCGGGUCUGAGAGGAUGAUCCGCCACACUGGGACUGAGACACGGCCCAGACUCCUACGGGAGGCAGCAGUGGGGAAUUUUGGACAAUGGGGGCGAACCCUGAUCCAGCCAUGCCGCGUGAGUGAAGAAGGCCUUCGGGUUGGUUAAAGG